AGAGAGCUCUUCGGUAGUUGCUCAAGACUGAGGGGGGAAUCCCCCCCUGCCGGGACAUUUCGAUAUAUUGGCAUUCUUUUUAUGAUUAAGAAAAGCCAGCUGGAGAGUCAUCUGCCUUAUUACAAACCAUCUUUGAUUAUCUGUUAUACCAAAAACACAUUAGAGUCUUGUGUGGUACUGGAUAUUCCUUGAUGUUCUGAUCACUGAGCAAAACAAGAUUUAGCAAGCCAACUGAUACUCAUGUUUGCUUUCCUUGGUUUGGAGUUCCUGCCACCUCAAGCGUGUAAAAACAAACAUCAUUGGUUUGGCUUUCAGAAUUAAACAUGUGCAGCAAUAAAUAUUGCAAGAGACUAAUAAGGAGUUUUCUUCAAAAGGGAUGUCCUCUGUAUAUUACUGACUGUAAUGUCUACAGGACAUCCAUGUUCUCAAGAAUCUCUCACCAAAAAGCAGAGAAUGCCAGCAAAGGACACCAUAUUCCUUUUGUGGUUGAUUUUCCACACAGCAUGUCCUAUUAUUUGGCUAAAAGCUACCUUGCCAACACCUGUUUCUUAAUUUACAUAGAUUAUGUGUGAGAACUGAAAUCAAUCACCCAUUAUGAAUCCUCGAUCACAUCACUGUGAAUUUAUGCCUCAUAUCAACUGCAUUUACUUGAGGGGUAGUCAUCUUCAAAAGUAGAUGAUUAUUAUCAUUAUCAUUGUUAUUACUUGUAUACCACUUUCCAGCAAAAAGGUUUUCAGAGUGUUUUACAUAGGAAAGAAGAAGAAGGUGGUUCCCUGUUCCAAAUGGGCUUACAAUCCAAAAAGAAACCAAGGGAGACAUCAGCAACAUCCAUUGCAAAUAUGCUACAUUGGGGUUGGAUAUGGGGGGUAAUUGACAAUGAAGACAUUGGUGGACAACUUCUGCCUUUUAGGAUUGACCGUCAACAGUAAAGGAUCCAGCAGUCAAGAAAUACACUACAGACUAGCACUUGGUAGAGUUGCAAUGAAGGCCUUGGAAAGGAUAUUUAGAUGCUGUGACGUGUCUAUACCUACAAAGAUUAGAAUCGUUCUCACCAUGGUUUUCCCCGUAACACUAUAUGGAUGUGAAAGCUGGACUUUGAAGAAGCAAGAUAGAAAAAACAUUGAUGCUUUUGAACUUUGGAGCUGGAGAAGACUUUUGAGGAAACCAUGGACAGCCAGGAAAACAAACAAAUGGAUCAUAGAACAAAUCAAUCCAGAAUUUUCACUCGAGGCACAAAUGACCAGGCUCAAACUAUCAUACUUCAGAGACAUGAUGCAAAGACCCAGCUCCCUUGAGAAGUCCAUAAUGCUGGGGAAAGUUGAAGGAAAGAGAAGGAUGACCAGCAGCAAGGUGGAUAGUCUCAAUUAUGACAGCAAUGAAUGCGCCACUGAUAGACCUUAAAGGCCAAUUUGAAGACAGAUCAUCUGGAGAGAAUCUAUCUAUGUGGUCGCUAAGAGUCCACACCAACUUGAUGGCACUUAAUCAAUCAAUCAAUGGGGAGUUGCUUUCCCCUUGCCAAAGAUAAGGGAGCUACCACUUUAAAAGGUGUCUCUUUUAAAUAUUAUAUGACUGCGGGUCAUAUAAUAAUAAAAAUAACUGGCACAGAUAUCUUUAUUAAAAAGAAUAUCACCUGCAAGUCAAACAACCUAAUAUAUUUUAUAAAAUGCAAGCGCCCUGGAUGCCACAUUGCAGAAACAGCAGACCUUCAUACAUGAUCUAGAACCCACAAAAGAACGAUCACAACAAAGAAGGUUCAACAACCAUGAACAAUUAAAAUUGCAAAACAUUUUAAUUCUGAUAGCUACAAUUUUUCUGACUUGCAAAAAUUUAUAGAAAAGCCAUCUAGUUGCAGGAUAGUAGAAGAAGAUAGUACUUCUGGAUCUAUAGACUUUUAAGACCCUGACAUCUUCAGUCUUGAAGGUGUGUGUGUGUGUGUUGUGCAUGUGUGUUUGAGUAAAAUUCUUUUCCAUGUGCCACUAUAGUAUGCUGAGAAUUCUACCACACUCAGCAUUCACUAUGGCUCGGAGUGCUCAUUUAAAUCACAAUUUUGUGUUACUGAGGAAGAUGGAAGCUGAAAUGGAUCUCUGUUUUGUUAUUCAUAUGCAUGCAUGUGCGGGCACACACACACACACACACACACACACACACACACACACACACAAUUGUACACAUAUAAUGAGACCAAAAGGCCCUGAAAUGCAAGAGAUCCAACCUGUGAUAUUUCUAUGCAACGCUCAAGUGUGUACAAGAUUCACAAGAGUAGUCAGUGGCCACAGGAUGCAAUCUUUUCAGCUUUAGAACACAAAUUAACACCUGCAGUGAGAGAGAAAAGCUUGGUUAAUUAUUGAGCCUUAACUUUAUAUUCCCAUACCCAUACCCUUACACCUUAAGUAAUGCAGCAGUGAAAUGGUUGACUAACAAGCAGAAGGUUGCCGGUUCAAAUCCCCGCUGGUACUAUAUCGGGGAGCAGCGAUAUAGGAUGAUGCUGAAAGGCAUCAUCUCACACUGUGCGGGAGGAGGCAAUGGUAAACCCCUCCUGUAUUCUACCAAAAGAAAACCACAGGACACGGUGGGCGCCAGGUUGAAAUCGACUUGGCGGCACACUUUACCUUUUACUUUACCCUUGUCCUUAUCUAUGACCUGCAACAUGAAACCCACUUUUAAUUUUGUUUAUGCAUGUCCAUCUUCCUGUUCUUGUUUUCAUAGCAACCUGCUCUUCUCCCUUCAGUAGUUUCAUCAGAGAGGGAAUUUUGGCAGGUACUAAUACAGGUGAGAAAAGCUGUGCAUGACAAAAUUCCCACUUUUACACAACUAGCAAAUGUGCAGGAACCCCAGUGUUCCUUCAACAAACACAAGACAAAACAGAAAUUAAAGCGUUAAAAACAAUUUAAAACCACAAUUCUAGUUAAAGUGUUUGGGUGAAUAACUCUGUCUUUAGAGCCUUUUUUAAAAGUUGUCAGAGAUGGGGAGGCUCUUAUUUUGGCAUGGAGCGUAUCCAAAUUUUCGAGGCAGCCACAGAGAAAGCUCAUCCCUGAGCAGCCAUCCGAUGAGCAGGUGGCAGCUGCAUAUAGACCUCUCUUGAUUAUCUCAAUGGUCAGGGCUCAUAGUGAAGAAGACCCCCUGCUUCUUUGGGUGGAUCCAUCUCUGCCUCACCUUAGUCUAAUGAAUCCCUUUAUACAGUAACACCUAAGACCUGGUGAAUUGACAUCUUACAUCAUCCCCCCAUAGCAUAACAGCAGCUGAAGUAGUUGUAGUAACAUCUGUUACUGGUUUUCCUGCUGCUUUAUUUCAUUGGCUUUAUUGUUGAUUUUAUCAUUGCAAUGUAUCCUUAUUUUCUGAGCAGAAAGGCAGGGUACAAAUCUUGAAAUAAUUACAGAAAUCCUUACAGCCCUGUGAAAUCAGGUUGCAAAAAUAUUCACAGCAUUAUUAGCAGCAAGACUGAAUGAGAUUGUAACAUUGUAUGCCAAUAAUGACUAUGCAGAAUGAAUGUAUGCCAUGUUGACAGCUGUUUGCAUUCUAAUUUUGUCUAUAACUGGAAUAAAACCAAACUCCCCUUAGCCAUCCUAUCACUAGAUACUUGCAAAAGUAUUUGACCAGUUGGAACAGUCUUUUCUUUUGGCCUUUCUUGAAAAAAUGAAGUUUGGCUUGUGCUUCCUUAAGGCAGUAACUCAAUUUUGCCACCAUAAUGCUUCAGAAUCAACAACUUAGACUCCCCACGUUUUCGGAUUAACAGAGGCCCAAAACAGGGGCUUCUUAUCCCUGCUGCUUUUGUACUUGGAUGAAGCAACUUACAAACUUCAUACACAGCAACCAUAACUAAUAGCUUUAAAGACAGAUGGCAGAAAAUACCUCAUAAACUUAUUUGUGGAUGAUACUGCCCCCCCCUUUUAACCAAGACCUGCCAGAGUUAAUGUUCUCACACCCAGUCAAUUUCCAGGCCCAAUUCAAAGUGCUGGUUUUAAUCUUUAAAGCCCUAAACAGCUUAGGACCAGGUUACCCGAGAGAGCGCCUAGCUCUAUAUAUCACUACCCGAACCUAGAGAUCUUCAGAGGCUUUGCUCCAAGUGCCCCCGCUAAAUGAAGUGAGGUGGGUGGUUACUAGGAUGCAGGCCUUUUUGGUGGUGGUACCCCAUUAUGGAAUAUCCUCCCCAGUGUGGCUCACCUGGUAUCAUCACUCUUCUUUUAGACGCCAGGGCACUUUCCAGACUAGCUGCUCAUUAGCAGCAAAAUGCCUUCAUUUGGGCAAGUCGCAUUUGGGCCAAAAACAGCAGGGGGAGCAGUCUUGCAGCAACUAACAACCCGAAAAAACAGCAACUUUUUCACACUGGAUAUGCGAGGUCCUUGCUCUAUAUUACAGCGAUUAAAUUCGCAACAAGGCAUUGGAAAUGUGAACAGCACCCUGCUGUCUGUGUAGGGACUGCGAUGUUAUGACAUAGGAAGUAUGGAAGCACACUUCCAAGAUUUGUCCUGACCCCAUUGUAGGGUCUAGUCUGGAAAGUGCCCAGGUGAAGGAAGGAACACAGGAAGCUGCCAUGUACUGAGUCAGACUAUAGGUCCUUCUCGCUCAGUAUUGUCUACACAGACUGGCAGUGGCUUCUCCAAGGUUGCAGGCAGGAAUCUCCCUCAGCCCUAUCUUGGAGAUGCUGCCAGGGAGGGAACUUGGAGCCUAGAUGCUCUUCCAAGAACAGCUCCAUCCCCUAAGGCCUAAGGGGAAUAUGGGGAAUAUCUUACAGAGCUCACACUUCUAGUCUCCCUUUUGUAUGCAACCAGGACGGAUCCUGCUUAGCUUAAGGGGACAAGUCAUGCUUGCUACCACAAGACCAGCUCUCUUCCCUUUCUGUUCACUUUAAAAAUAGGGUUUUUUUAAGUUUUAAAAAAUGCUUUUGUGAUUGUAUUUUGUAUUUUUUUUGUAUUUUUAAAAUGUAUUUUAAUUGUACAGUACAUUUUAUUAUAUUGAUGUUUUAUUGUGAGCCACCCAGAGAACAAUUUGUUAUGGUUCCAGGUGGCUUCUCAUACUACCCUCAGCCAGCGGCAUACCUUACAAAUUUGACCACUCUAAAUCAGAGGAGAGCGUUCUCGCUGGCGCGGUUUAAUGCCCUGCCUUUUGCCAUUUUGGAUGGCAAGUUUAAGAGAAUACCGCUCAGGAACCAGCUAUGUCCAUGCGGUUCGGGCAAAUAUUGAGUCCAUCUCACAUGUGGUUUUAUACUGUUUAUAUUAUAGGAACAUUCACAUUGCCUGGAUUGAACCACUUUUAAAAAACAUGCCAGGUCGAUCAGAAGACUUCCUUCCUUCCGGCAGACCAGUAUACAGCUAUUAGACGGAGUAGCAAGAUUCUGUGCCACAGCAUGCAAACUGAGAUGGGAGCAGUUGAUUAAUUAUAACUGAGACCUCUGAGCAAAUGAAGAGGAACAAGUCAGCACCAUCCAAAUGGGUCCCCAAAUGGAUUGUUCUGGGCCCAGGAAUAAACAAAACGGGCGUUCCAGAAAUGAAUGGAGCUGCUGAGGUGAAUAGUUUCCAUGCACACUCAUGCAAUACAGAGGAAUGUGCAGUCAUUUCUGCUUCAAUUUAGCCUGGUAAACUGCAAUGACUUCAUUUGACUUCAGAGGGUACUGUGGCUUUUUCUCUGACCAACAGAAAAGCUGAUCUUCUCUGCUCAUCUCAUUGGUUGUGACUGGUUCUGCUUUUUUUCCUUCACUAUUUUAUUUAUUUAUUUAUUUAAAAUAAAUGCCCCAGGGCUUUGGAACACGCUCCCUGCUGAAAUAAGAGCAUCUCCUCUGUUUGCUUUUAGGAGGACCCUGAAGUGAAGACGCACCUGUUUUCCCAGGCCUUCAACUGAGAUUGUAUUUUAAAAUUGAUUGUAAUGUGUUUUUAACGGGUUUUUAUCUAUAAUUUUUAUCUUUUUAUGAAUUUUAAAUGUGUUUUAUUGUAUGUUUUAAUUCUGUAAACCGCCUAGAGAUUUUUAUACUAGGUGGUAUAUAAAUUAAUUAAUUAAUUAAUUAAUAAUAAAUAAAUAAAAAUAUUUAUACCUCUCCCCUCCAGUACACUACCGCUUGGGGCAGCUCACAACAAUAAAAUAGAUACAAUGUAAAAUAAAAGUAAUAAAAUUAACCAAAUUAAGUAAACAAGUUAACAGUGAGGCUAAAACCACAAUCAGAAUUACAUUUCAAAUUAAUAUGUUAUUUUAAAAGCUAAUAAUUGAGAAUUAUAAAAACUAUUCUUCUGGAGUUUGAUGAUCUUCUGCAGUUAUCAAUAUUUGACAGAUUUCUGUACUAUCAGAUGGAUAAGGAUUUCCUUCUUUAGCCUUCUGAAGAACUUUCAUACUUCCUUCUUUUGGAACUGGGAAUCUUCUCUCUGCUUUGGUUUCAGGAUGUCUCUGUUGGAACUAUUCAAAAUAUUUGUACCAUUUGGUGAUGGCAGUGGUGCUUGUCUCAUGCUGUGUGUGGUGUGUUUGGUUAACCCAUUCCUUGAUCCAGGCCAGCUUUUGAAUGGGGCUUUAGUUACUUGUAUUUCAGUCCUGGAAUGGAGGAGGGACUAACAAACAGCCAGCAGCAAGAGCACUGAAAAGCACUCUGCACUUGACUCUUAACAUUAAUGACAACAUUAUAGGUGCUUCAAUGAUAGGUUUAAUUAUUGAAAAAGACCAGGUAGCCACUUUCAUUAGCAAUAAAGGAUUUACUUCUUAAGGGUCAAUUUCCAUGUUGGUGAUGUUUCACAUUUCGUUCUUCCCAAAGCAAAGCAACAAUUUUUAUGUUCCUUAUUUCAUGCCAGACUUUUUGUUUGUUGCUUUCUUGAGCUUGUGAGAAACCACAAAUAGCUUCAUGCUUUUCAAGCCAAGCUAAGCCAUUUCCCGCAAAUAAAGAUUGCCCUCAAUCUAGUUCUUUGCAGAAGUCUGUUCCUUUUGCGAGGAAAAGGUGUAUUUUUCCUUAUGGUGGACAAAGUUCAUCAGCUUAGCAUGGGUUUAUCAGUCAUCACAUAGCUUGAGAGAGGAUAGGGUUAAUUUUUUUUAAUGCAGGCUAGCUUUCUGUUAGGCAGUAGGUGGUGCCAGAAACCCAGUUCAUGUUCUGUGUGGCUCAAAAGACAGUGAUUUUGAAGAGCUCCUGCUCAACUUCUUAAAAAAUCAGGCUAGUUUGUUCUUCCUCCCCACCCUCAUACCUGCUUUAUUUCUUCUUAUGUGCCAGGGUGGGAAGGGAGUAACUUCAUUUUGUUCUAAAAAACAUUGCUUUAUGUUCUAAUUUGGUCUGUUUGUUAAAACUGGUCAGUUACUUUCAGUUUUGCCUUGGUUAGCUUUUUUAUUCCUCCCCCCCCCGUUAACUCUUUCACACUCACCCCCCAUUUCAAGCCUAUGGAGGCGGCUCAGCUGGGAGAGAUGUUAGUGGACUCCUGCUUGGAAGGUCCCCACUCAGACCCAAAGGAGGAAAAAGCGCACAUGUGUGUGUGUUUUUUAAAAGCCCUUUAAGGAUCUAAAUGUUGCCUCUCUCCCCCCAAGCUGAUUGGGCCCCCAGUGAGCCCUAAGCAACAUAGAAGGGUUGCGAAGAAUAGCAAACACUUAGCAAGGAACACACUGUUUUAAAAAACAAACCCUGCAAAAAACAGCCUCCUUCCUCUGCUCUGUGCCUCAGUGAGCAUUUCCUGCUACAAGCGCUCUGCCAGCAGAAGCAGCCCAGAUGCCCACCUCCCAUAUUGCCCCAAGACAACAUGGGCAAAGGUGCACACAGCACAAGGGUGCCAUUUUAACCAAAGAUAUUUCUGCUGCUCCUGUGGAAGUUGGGGAGGGAGCUGCGGCUGUGCCAUUUUUGCUCCCCAUAUCCCAAAAUGCCAGGCUUCCUUCUGCAUUAGACCAUGGCUCUAGCUUGCUAGUCCCUGACGCUGCACAAUCCUAGAUAACACAGCCUGUGCAAACUGCCUCUGCUCCUAUACGAACUUCACAGAGCGCCACGCAGAUGAAUAAGAACUUGCCAGGGGGGCAGUAAAAGAAAAAAAAAAUCAUCUCCACAGAAAACAUGUCUCAAUGGCUAAAGGCAUUUAUUUCAAUUGAAUGCAGGACUCUAGUUCUCUGUACCACUUCAGCCCCGUUUACCCCAACCGGUUCCAGCCCCUAGGGCUAGACCCACAUGGCGACAGAACCUGGGAGCCUACUCCUCUCCAGAUUCCAGUCAGGGUAGUGGGACCAUUCUCUCCACAAAGAGAGGGUGCUUCAAGCCUCGGGCCAAGGCACCAUUGGGUAAAAGAAAAGUAUAUUGGGAGAGAACCCUCCCUCUUCCUCAUCAGAAGAUGAGAAAUUGUCUGAGAAGGGCUCCACACCACAAGUACCAAGCUCCUCACACUUCUUUGCACCAGCUGACUUGAAGUUUUACUGGCAAAGCUAAGAGAGUCAUCAAUGAUGUCUCCGUUCCAGAUGUUCCUUGACCUCCUCCUGGCCUAUACCUACAAGUCUUCCCAUCCUUCCACAUCAUUCCCUAAAAUUUUUUUAACCUCUCACCUGAUAUAAUGGACCUGCUCUUGGUCACCAAAGUGAUGCACCAGCGGCCCAGUUAGUCUCAGGAGCAAUCAUACACAAAGAAGGCGAGGAACAGUUAAAAAACUCCAGAGGACAAAAAGUGUGCUUCUUUCCUAAGAAAGGCUCAUGAGGUGUCAGCUAUAAUAAUUAGAACAUCCACUACCACUUCAAUCUUUGCACAAGCCUCCGUUCCAUGGGCAAAAGAAUUAGUGCAAUACAUUCCUUUGGAAAAUAAGAAGUUAUGCCAGGGCAUUAAUAAACUAGCCAAGGCAGCCACACUCAUGGCUGUCUCCAGCCGGGAUUCUAUCCAAUAUGUAUCCAGGGCUAUGGCUUUGUGAUGGCAGUGCAUAGGAGCCUCUGGCUAAAACAUUGGAAUGCAGAUGCUAAAUCCAAACUCAGCCUAGCAGCCCUCCCCUUCAUGGGGACCAAGCUAUUUGGUGAAUCUCUAGAGUCUAUCAUAGUCGAGACCAGGGAUAAGAAAAAAGUUAUUCCCCUAGGGUGCCAAGAUUCACAGAAGUCCUUCCGUUUCAAUAAUAUCUUUCAUCCCUACAGAACAUUUUCUAGAAACACAGGAGCCUCCUUCAGAGAUCAGAGACCCAUAACCAACUAACCUGUUUGGCAUCAAUGCACCAGGGGAUCUUGGAAUCAAUGCAUGGCAGCAUUGUGCAAGGGGAUCUUCCAGACCAGUGUUUCUCAACCACCGGUCCCUGGACCGCUGCCGGUCCCUGAAGGGUUGAGUGCUGGUCCCUGACUGGGAGUCAACACCCCCUCCCAACUGAAAUCAAGGCACUCACUUCCUCAAUUUUGCACAUGGCACGGAAGAGGAAAAGUAUCACGGAGGCAUGGGACCCUUCUUGUGCCUUGCCUCCACGUGCUGCUGAGAUCUUCCUACAGCUAUCUUAUUCCCUAUCUUUACAGCUUCAAACUGUAUGCGAUGCGGGGGCAUGGAGGAAAAAGUAUGGCAGUGGGCGCCACUUGAAGGGCUGCUGGUUCUUGCAUGCUCAUUGUUUGCAGCCAAAGGUUGGUUGAUUGAAACCCAGCUGCCUGUUGUGGUCGAGGCGCCUUGAGAGGGAACGCUGUUUCCCUCUUGCAUCAGUGGGGCUUGCUUGUAUGUUGUUUUCAUUGGCCCCAUGUAGCUUUUGAAUUUUUCUAAUGGCCCAACAUCCCCUCUCCAUUGAGUAAUCACAAGCACCUCCACUCCAGACAUACUGGAGACAAAUUUGUUCACCCAGGCUUUUAGAUUCAGGGGUUCUCAACCUUGGGUACCCAGACGUUGGUGGACUUCUACUCCCAUAAUCCCCAGCCAUAAUGGCCAAAUGCCAUUGUUGUUAGGGGUUAUGGGAGUUUAACUGAGGGACCCAAGGUUAAGAACCCCUAAUAUUCCAUGUUUGCAAAAGAUUCCAAAUUUAAUUAUUUUAAUGCUUAUAUUAUUUUCAUUCUAAACUGCCCAGAGAUGCAAGUUUUGGGCAGUAUAGAAGUCUGAUAGAUAGACAGAUAGAUAGAUAGACAGACUUGAAACCCCUUUACUAACUGCUGGUCCGGGAAACUGUGCAUGAAGAAUGUAGCGGUCCUUGAUACUCUGCACGAAGAAUUUAGCGGUCCUUGACUCCAAAAAGUUUGAGAAACACUGUUCCAGACCACAACAGUUCAGACGAUUCCCCUCCACCCCUGCUUACCAACCACAUAAACAAUCACUCUGCUCUGGUCAGGGGCAGACUCGCCCUACACUUGUGAGCCUGGUGGGCCUCCACUACUGACACAAUCCAAAAUGGCUACGCAUUAGAGUUUGAGAUGCCUCCCCCCGACCAGUUUCUGUCAUAAAUCUGUUAGCUCGGCUAACCCAACAGGAUUUACAACCCCCUUCAAAACUCCCUGGUGAGUUAACAGAAAGCGGCAGCGGAACUGCACGAAUGAAAAAUAAAAGGCUCACAAAGGAAAACAGUAAAUGAAUUAAGUCCCCUGAACUGAACUAGGUAACCUCCUCUAACAAUAACUGAGUAAUAAGUGAAAAGAAAACACAGAGCAAGGAAUGAAAAUAGCGAAGGACGACAGAAGCAAGGAAUUAACAGAACAAAGCAGGAAAGGAUAAACAAGGCAAACUGGAACUCGGACAAAGUUUUGGAAUUCGAAUAGCACACUGUCUGCAGCCAGCGAAACAUUGCAAACAGCAUCUGAGCAAUUGAGAGACUGCUAAAUAUAUAUGGCUCAAGAGAACCAGCAGCCAAUCAGGCUUCCCUGAGUCAGCACUUCAGCUUCCUCUCUUGUGAUCUCCUGCGCCUGCGUGACUGCCACUGAGCUUGCCUCUUGAGACGCCUUCUCAAGACAGGUGAAAUCCCAAGCUCCUCCUCAUCAGAAAUCAUGUCUGGCAGCUGUUGUAAAUCCUCAGCUCCAGAGUCUGGUCUCCCUGCAAAAUCCUGUUGCUGUGCCUCUGAGCCCUCACUAGCAGGCGAAUCCUCCUGCUCUGACUCUUCUGAGUCAGAAGUCUGAGCCAUGACAGUUUCUUACCCACACCCAUCCCCCAAAACUGACCCAAACAAUUACAGAUGCACCUGGCUAUUCUUCAUCUGCUGGAGAUCAAGGCAAUACAAUCAGAUCUGGAUUGUGAUCCGUUAAGCCCAUAAGUGAAUGGGUUCUGCGCCUGUGCAGGCACCUCUCGGGCCGACUAGGUAGCUCCUCGCGACGCCCAACCGCCUUUCUGCACGUGCUCCUGCAUUCCAUCUAUAUAGUGCGGUUGGGCGUCUUCCGUUAGUUUCUGUUUGACCGCCACAGCGUUCAGACCUCGUUUGGGCUCCUCGGUAGACAGAAAUAACAAACUUUACUUAUACGGCUUGAAAAUUGGUAUUGAAUUUGGACAGGAUAAACGGACUUGGAUAUUUGCUUAACGGACUAGUUUACACGACAGAUCGGACUGAUUUAUCUGGCUUUACCUGGACUGCUAAACGGAAUCGGAAACUUGUUUAACGGACUAGUCUAGACGACAGAUCGGACUGAUUUCUCUGGCUUUACUUGGAUUGUUGUUGGAUCUUGCAAACUGCUUCACGGACGGUGUUGAUGAAAGAUCAAACAGACUUAUUCAUUGCUUCUCAACCUGGACUGCUUUACGGAAAAUGGAGAAUAAAACUACGUUUAAACGUUGUGUGAGGUGUCGGGCAAAGUUGCCAUCCACCGACCAUCAUGAUGCCUGCUUGUUGUGUCUCGGUGAGGAGCACAACACGGCAGCUUGUAAAAUUUGCUGUGCAUUCUCGAAACAAACGAGAACAAAUCGGGCGUUGCACCUUAGAGCCGCACUUUAUGAAGACGCACUCCGCCCGCCGACCCCUCGCCCUAUAGAUCAGUCGACAUCGACAUCGGCUACGGCAUCGGGCGCAGGGAGUCACGGAGCUGUCGCAGUACAGUCUAAAACCGUGUCUGAUAAAGCUUUCAAGAGACCUUUGGAAGUCACUUCUAAGGAGCACAAGCGGAAGGAAAAAAAGACAUCGACGAGACGAAGGUGAGAAGACUGGACAUAGGCUGAAAACUCCAUCACCUUCCUCAGUGCAAGGAUCGGAGGGUGAGUGGAAUACAGAGCAUUGCACUUCAAGCCCGGUCUCGACACCGAGAGCCUCGACGUCGAGGACACCCUCGACAUCAAGAGGUGAACGAAAAGGCGAAUCAUCGGUACCAACACCCUCGACGCCGAAGCCCUCGACAUCGAGGAGUGAGCGCACCGGGGUCAUUUUGCCAUUGAGCUCGACAUCGAAGGCGAAGAGCAACCGUGACUCUUCGGCGCCGAGAGAGACUGCACACCGUGUCUCCCUCUCCCCUGCACACACUCCUCAACAGUCUUCCUCGACUCCAAGGAACCAGGGAAGCCACCGCUCUGAUAGGGUCCAUUCACUUAUGGACUCAACGGAUCACUACCAGAUCACCUGUUACACGUAAGCAACCUGUUUUACCAUCAAUAGAAUUAUGGCAAGUUAUAUUUUCCAUAUUGUUUUUGGAACCCAAGAAAGACGGGUUGUGGAGGGCAGUCCUAGACCUCAAGCGCCUGAACAGAUUCAUUAAAAAGAAGCCAUUCUGCAUGGAAUCUGUGCCAUCCAUCAAGGAAGCCUCUUGGAGGCCUACCUACAUGUCCUGAUAUGCACUCACUACCUCAGAUUUGCUUACAACAAUCCCCAGUUUCAAUACAGGGCCAUGCCCUUCGGCCUCUCAUUGGCCCUGUGGGUGCUUUUCGAAGCUGAUGGCGGCCCCCGUGACAUGCUUACGCCUGCAAGCCAUUCAUAUCCACCCUUGUUUGGUUGUUAUGCUUAUCAGUUCUCAGACCCAUCAACAGGCCUACAAGGACAUUCAGCAGACCACACAAAUGCUCCUGAACCACGGAUUUGUCAUCAGUGAUCAGAAAAAUCAUCUGUUGCCCUCCCCGUCCCUGCAAUACUUGGGAGCCCUCAUCAACACUCAAAAUGCAACAGUGUCUCUACCUUCCAAACGCAAAGACAAACUGAGACCACUAAUUCAUCCUCUCCUGUGUCAAAAGUCGGCAGACCUGAUGCUCCUGGUGCAGAUCCUAGGCUCAAUAAUCUCUUGCAUGGAAUGCGCCCUUUGGACAAAAUGGCAUUCAAGAACAUUCCUAUGGCACAUCCUACUACAUCAGGAGGCCAUCAUGGAACGCAGGCAGGUGCAGCUCCCACUCACGAACAAACCCCUCAGGUCACUCGAAUGGUGGCUGUCUCCGGCACUCGACAAGGAGCUUUCAUUCACAAUCUCCUAGCAAACAACCAUCACCACAGAUGCAAGCCUCUCCGGCUGGGAAACUCAUUACUAGAGCCAUUAUGCACAGGUCAAAUGGUCUCCCCCAGAGCUUCUGUACAAUGUCAACUUGCUGGAGCUCCGUGCAAUCUGCCUAACACUCAUUCAUGUCCUACCACAAAUCACAAACACCCAUGUGCUUGUCCAGACGGACAAUAUCACCGCAAAGUCCCAGUCAAUCACCAAGGGGGAACAAGGUCAAGAGCAAUCAUGGCGGAAUCUAAUCUCUUUGCCAGGGCAGAGAAUCACCUCCUCCUGUCCAUAUCAGCAGACCACCUCAGUGGGAUGGCAAACGUACAUGCAGAUUGGCUAAGUCAUCAGAUGAUAGAUCCCACAGAAUGGUCACUUCACCUGGAUGUGUUCCAUCAGAUGACCAAGGCACUAGGCCUUCCUGAAGUGGACAUAUUUGCGUCAGCAAGCAACCAUCAACUUCCAUGCUUCUUCACAAGGUUCCAGUUCCUCUGGGCAGAAGCCACGGAUACAUUAAUGACACCAUGUCCCCGCCCCACAGCCUGCUAGAUGUGUUUUCCCCGAUGGCCAUUAUUUGAAGAGUCAUUCAAAAAGUGCUGUUAGAAAGGGCAGACCUGAUCAACAUCUCACCUUAUUGGCCCCAGAGGCCAUGGUUUUCCAACCAAUUGAAUCUCUCAAUUCGUCCCCCUUGGCAUCUUCCUCCACGACAAGGCCUUCUGUCACAGGGCCGCAUUCUCCACCCAGACCCUCAAUGGGUCCAAUUCUCCGUGUGGAGGUUGAGCGCUUGGCCCUAGCUCAAGCUGGAUACUCACUUUAAGUACAGAAGAUUAUCUUAGCUUCUAGAAGAUCGUCCACCAGUAGAAUUUACCAGUCUACUUGGUCAGCUUUUUCGUGGUGGGUGCACCUGAUGCACGUAUCUCUGUUGACUGCAGGGGUCCCCAAAGUAAUGGCUUUCUUACAGUCUGGUUUGGAACUUAAACUAUGACCUAGUGCACUGAGACAUCAAACUUCAGCCCUUUCCUCAGUGCUCAAAUGGUCUGCUUCAGAUGUUCCUUCAUCCUCACCUUUUGAGGUUCCUUAAGGGGGCCGUCAACAUUCCCCCAGCACCUCAAUGGGGUUCUUAAUGCAUUCACUAGAGCACCCUUCGAACCGCUCCUCUAUGUACCUUUAAAAACCUCUCUCAUUCCAGGUGCACUUCCUGGCUGCAAUUACUUUAGUAUGAAGAGUAUCCGAAUUGGGUGUGCUCUCUAGUCGUAAGGAGCUGUGCACGUUACAUCAGGAUGCAGUGGUGCUAAGAUUAGACCCUACCUUCCUCCCAAAGGUUAAUUCUACGCUCCACCAGAUGCAGGAGGUCAUCCUUCUGCCCUUCUCUGCAGCUCCCCAAAGAAAAAUUACGGCACUCUCUAGAUGUGUGCAGGGCACUCAGAAUUUACCUAAGACAUACUGCCAUGUUAUGCCAAAUGAACUCUCUUUUAGUGUCAUUUCUUCCUUCAUCUCUGGGUAACAGGUUAUCCAAAGUGACCAUGUCCCAAUGGAUAUAGGUACUGUAACUAUCACGCUAGCAUACAAAUCUCUGGAGCUUGCCUGCUCCAACGGGCAUUACAGCUCAUUCCACUCAUAGUGCUUCUACUUCAGCUGCCUUUUCUGCAAAUGUCCCUCUCAUGGAGAUUUGUAGAGCAGCCACCUGGGUUUCUGUUUCUCCAUUCAUGAAACACUAUAAGAUCUUUUCAUUCCAUGCAGCCCAGGCGGUGUUUGGCCGCACGGUUCUACAGAAUGUGGUCUAGACCAUCCACUCCCUUCCUUCUUCUCUUAGCUAGCUUGGGUAUGUACCAUACUAAGCUGAUGACCUUCAUCCAACAUAAGGAAAAAGAAACAUUGGUCUUACCAUGAAGAGUUCUUUUUCUUAGGUGGACGAAGGUCAUCAGACCCACCCUAUAUAAACUUGAUGGUUGGGGUGCCAGUUUUGGGUGUAGGGAGCAACCCUCAGGGACAAUUGAGUCAUCUAUCCACUAUUAUGACUUCAUAGUAUUUUCUUUCUCACCUUGAAUGGAUAACUGCUUUGCCUCUGUUUCUUCUAUCUUACCUUUCUACGCUACAGGCCUGGAACUGGGUUUCUGGUGCUACCUACUGUCUAAUAAGAAGCUAGCCUGCAGAAAAAAGGUAACUCUAGCCUGUCUCAAGCCAUAUGAUGACUGAUGAACCCACACUAAGCUGAUUAUCUUCAUCCACCUAAAAAAAGAACUCUUCACAGUAACACUAAUGUUUCUUUUUUUUCUUACCUUGGAGAAAUAUCUCUUUUUCUCUUGCAAGAACAGUAAUCAAAAUGGUCAGAUCAAUGUUUAACAAUGAUAGAUGUCUUCUGUGAUUGGUUGGAAAAGGCCAGUGGGCCAGAAAAGAAACCAAGUAGCCAUUUUAUUUGGCAAGAAAGAACUUGCCUCCAUGUUGAUGGUGACCACCUAUGAUCUUUUAAACUUCCUCCUUCCUGAAACAGUGCAACAAUGUGUAUCAUUGGACUUUUUGUUAUCAGUGUGUUCUUUUAAGCUGAUUGAAAACCAUGCAUUUCAAGCCAAGGCAUUUCCUGCUAAUGAAGCACAUUGUGAUAGUAUUCCCUCUCAUUCCCUAGGAAAUAAACCAAAUAGCUUCUUUCUUUAGCAAUAAACCACUUACCUCUGUUAGUGAUGUUAAUAUCUGAAGUUUUUCACAUCCCUUUUUCUAAAACAGUGCAACUAGUUAUGUUCCUUACCUUGCAUCAUAAUUUUUCUUAUGAAUUUCUUAAACUUGACAAAAUCUAUGGAGUUUGUUUUGUUUUGCUCCCCCCCCCUUUUUUUUUUUAGCUUUUCCAGAUAACUCCCAAAACAAUGGUUGUCUUAUUGUGGUCAAUUUGUCUGUAGUUCUAUGCUUGAGUUAGUUUAUUUCUAGGGUGAAGAUACUUCUCCAGACAACUUUCCCCCUACUGUCUCUAGAAUUAAGUCUUGACAAAGGUUAUUUACAGAGCCAAACAAAGAAAGGAAAUGGAAAAUUUGGCAUGUAGAAAUGCUAAAUACUUGCCUCAUCUGCUGGAUUGCUUGGUCUCAAACUGCCUCCAGCUGUUACAAAUUCCUGUUCUAGAACAGAAAGAUACUUCUUACCUGGCAGCCUUACCACUCAUUUGUAUAUUUAAAAGGAACACAACUCCUUUGCCAUGAAUUAGCCCAUCUAUUCUUGGUAUAGGAGGAGGAGGAGAAACAAACUGCCCCUGUGAGAUGCUACUUCUUCUUCUGCAUCCUCCACACCACUGAGUCUGACCCUUUGGCUUUGAGCUUUAGCCAUCACCAAAGAGACAAUAAGGCCAUUCUAAUGUAUGGCUAAAAUUGGGCUAGGGCAGCCCAGCCUGAUUUUAGUUGCGUGUGAGAACCAACGGGAGCCCGGUGGCUUGGUGGCAAACCCUCCUGCGUAGCCCACCUCUUAACCUGGGUUUCGGACGUGAGGGCAACAACAACAAAGCACUUGUGCAGUGCUUUCAGGGACUUUCAGGGGCCAGGAGCCCCCCCCCCCCAAACCCGCCUUUCAGCAUAGCUUCAUAAUGGUCCCCUUGAGACAACUGAGCAAUCGUCUGCAGGGAGAGCAGUUUGAGACCAUCGCUUGGUCUCAAACUGCCUCCAGCUGUUACAAAUUCCUGUUCUAGAACAGAAAGAUACUUCUUACCUGGCAGCCUUACCACUCAUUUGUAUAUUUAAAAGGAACACAACAACUUUGCCAUGAUUAGCCCAUCUAUUCUUGGUAUAGGAGGAGGAGGAGGAGGAGAAGCAAACUGCCCCUGUGAGAUGCUACUUCUUCUUCUGCAUCCUCCACACCACUGAGUCUGACCCUUUGGCUUUGAGCUUUAGUCAUCACCAAAGAGACAAUAAGGCCAUUCUAAUGCAUGGCUAAAAUUGGGCUAGGGAAGCCCAGCCUGAUUUUAGUUCCGUGUGAGAACCAACGGGAGCCAUGUGGCUCCCAGUGGUGGCUUGGUGGCAAACCCUCCUGCAUAGCCCACCUCUUAACCCGGGUUUCGGACGUGAGGGCAACAACAACAAAGCACUUGUGCAGUGCUUUCAGGGACUUUCAGGGGCCAGGAGGCCCCCCCAACCCCCCCUUUCAGCAUAGCUUCAUAAUGGUCUCCCUGAGACGACUGAGCAAUCGUCUGCAGGGAGAGCGGGUCGAACCCACUCUCCACGCAACCCCCCUUUAGGCUCUUCACACUGCUUGUGUGAAGAGUCUCAAUGAGCACAUUAUAGCAGAGAAAUCACAGGUGAUGUCAUAACUGCCGCCUGCAGUGGUGGGGGCAAAGUGUCAUCCUUCAGCACUGGAGAGAGAUGUACCUGGUGGGCACCUAUCUACAGUACACUAUUUGUACCACUCUUAUCCUGGGAGUUCUAGUUUGGAGAAAGUGCUGAUAAUUAUCCGAUCCUCAAACACAGCGGUUUGUGGCUGACCAGAAACCAUUGUAGCUUGGGAUGAUGGGAGUUAUAGUCCAAUAGCGACUGGAGAUUCAAGACUGGAACACCUGCUCUAGCUUUCCCCCACAGCUGUGUUAGUUGGUUUUCAUUUUGUCAAAACAUUCCAUCAGUAACUGGGUCCAACAAUAACUGUAGGCCAACAUCUGCGAUAAAAAUGUUCUUUUUCAGAUCUCUUUCUCUCUCUCUUUCAAUUACAAAAUUAUUUUCUGCAAUUGAUUUUUGUUUCUACAGAACAUCUUUAACAUUUCAGACAACUUAAGAGCCCUGUGAUCGAAAAGUACCCAUCAUAGGUUUCUAGGUUUUCAGAACUAUAGGAUUUAUUUAUUUCUCCUCUUUUUAUUAAUUACUGUAAAUAGAAUAGUGCAUUUUGUGACAAUACUUUUGUAACAGUAGAGGGCACCCUUGCUUUAUAAAUAUAAAUGUAACUAUAAAUAUGUGUGAUUCUAUACAAUUACAGGAGAAUGAUAUUCAAAAUAAUAUAAACCAUUCACAGUUUGUUACAUUUUACAUCACCCACUUUAGUGUAAAAGUUAGAACAGUUUCCACCUACCCUAUAUUAUCCUUAAAAAAAGAAAAAGAAAACAAAUGAACAGUCAAUAGCUAUUAUCUUUUGAAUGAAACAAAAAUAUAUGAAAACUGACAUAUAAGCAUUAUCAUUUCUCAGAAAAGGAGAAAACAUUUCCAUGCAUUUUAAAGAUGUAUAAGAGAGACACCAGCAACAGCCACUACCCUAAAAAUAUGGCCUUAAUGUCUCCCCUAAAUCUGUUUCCUUGUAAUUUCAAACCAUUGGUUCUAAUCCUGCCCUCAGAAGGAACAGAGAACAAGUCCUGUCUUUCUUUUAUAUGCUUUGAAGAGAGUGAAAAUGCCCCCUUUAGUCUUCACUUCUUCAGGCUGAAUGUACCCAGCUUCUCUAACCAUUUCUCAUAAGACUUGGUUUCCAGAUCCCACAACAUCUUUGUUGUCCUCUGAAACCAUUCCAGUUUUCAGUGUUUUUUUCUUAAAAUGUGGUUCCCAGAACUGGGCACAGUAUUAGAAGUGAGACUGGCCAGCACAUAAUGGAGUGGAGUGGUUACUUUUUGUAAUCUGGACACUAUGCCUCUGUCAAUGCAGCCUACAAUUGCGUUUGCUUUUUAAGCAGCUGCGUCACACUGCUGGAUAAAUGUUCGGGAUAAAUGAAGAUGCCAACAUAAGAAAUUAGACGCGCCCACACUGGAAUCAGGGCUGCACAAGCAGAUCCUGAUACUGAAUCAGCUGCUAACAAAAGCCCUAUUUACAUGUUCUGUUCAGCGCAUGUACAAUCUGUGCACAAUGCACACAUACAGAUCAAGGCAUACAUAUACACACAUGGAAUAACCUCCCCAGAGAGGCUUACCUGGCAUCAUCACUUUGUUCUUUUAGACAUCAGGUGAAGACCUUUUUGUUCACUCAGGUUUUUUAAAUUUGAUUUUUAAAAAGUUUUAAAAUGCUUUGGACUGUAUUUUGUACUAUAAUUUGUUUUGUGUUAUGUGUUCUAAUUGGAUGUUUUUAUUGUGUUGUUGUGACCUGCCCAGAAAAUAAUUUAUUAUGGGGCGACUAAAAAAUAAAGUUUAUUAUUAUUAUCUA
Molecule: long non-coding RNA, 19331 nt
Organism: Hemicordylus capensis (graceful crag lizard)
Lineage: Eukaryota; Metazoa; Chordata; Lepidosauria; Squamata; Cordylidae
Exons: 2
Source: RefSeq, a predicted model, not a curated record